AACAUUUCAGGUAGUAUAUUAUAAUGAGC
Molecule: small RNA, 29 nt
Filed under: Bombyx mori (domestic silkworm)
Lineage: Eukaryota; Metazoa; Arthropoda; Insecta; Lepidoptera; Bombycidae
Description: ovarian small RNA-10267
Source: RNAcentral